This 253-nucleotide ribosomal RNA is filed under the name uncultured bacterium. RNAcentral describes it as "partial 16S ribosomal RNA". It matches the Rfam family "Bacterial small subunit ribosomal RNA", at positions 524 to 776 of the family's 1533-position model. The record is from RNAcentral.
GACGAACCGUACGAACGUUAUUCGGAAUCACUGGGCUUAAAGGGUGCGUAGGCGGCGCGACAAGUUGGGGGUGAAAUCCCUCGGCUCAACCGAGGAACUGCGCCCAAAACUGUCGUGCUCGAGGGAGACAGAGGUGAGCGGAACUUAGGGUGGAGCGGUGAAAUGCGUUGAUAUCCUAAGGAACACCGGUGGCGAAAGCGGCUCACUGGGUCUCUUCUGACGCUGAGGCACGAAAGCUAGGGUAGCGAACGGG